This 311-nucleotide long non-coding RNA is filed under the name Panax ginseng (ginseng). RNAcentral's name for it is "long non-coding RNA (PGIN_LNC003373)". The record is from RNAcentral. Lineage: Eukaryota; Viridiplantae; Streptophyta; Magnoliopsida; Apiales; Araliaceae.
CCAGUUGAUUUUUUAAAUGGUUGUACCAACACAACCGAGAAAAGGUUUGCACAUUGACCCAGUGAUGUGACACCGCUAAACGGGUCAGUGAAACCGAGAUUCAUUAGGGUCCGGGGACUUGGUUAUGCAGAGGGAAGGUGUUAGGCACCCCACGACAUCCGUGUUACCACGGUGACCGUCUCUUUUCAAGAAACUAUUAUUUGAAUGUGUGUGUGUGGGUCAAUAUGCUGUUAUUUGGAAGUAAUGUGAGGCCUCGUUCACACCUAUAUACACAGGGUUUGAAUUUAUGUAAAAAUUUAAUUUUAAGCAAG